Acanthochromis polyacanthus (spiny chromis) is the source of this 531-nucleotide long non-coding RNA. RefSeq lists it as uncharacterized. The transcript is spliced from 3 exons. NCBI's taxonomy places the organism in Eukaryota, Metazoa, Chordata, Actinopteri, Pomacentridae. The record is from RefSeq and is a predicted model, not a curated record.
CAAGCACUCUGAGGGAACAGGUGUCCCCUCUGUCUGCCUGUGGUCGAGGUCCUGUAGUGGAAGCAUGGGAAAGGGCAGCCACCGCAGAGGUUCUACCCCAGCGGACAGUCUGCAGUGAGACAAGAGGGAUUUUGCGCCUUGUGGUGAGCAGGUCACUGAGAAGAGAGAUCAAAAGAGCAGCAGUGUCAGCCCUGGAGCAUGCUGCUCAUCAGUGUGGCCUGUGAUCAAUGGUGCAGGUGUGGUGGAGAGCAGCAGGGCAGCGGAGGGCCUGCUGCCCCUGCCCCGCCUGUGGCCGAGGAGGACGGCGUCGAUUAAUCACACUGAAGCCUGCUGGAGCGCACUCAUAAAUCGCCCCGGUGCUCCUUAAACAGGAGAGUCCCAGGGCGCAGCGCCGUCAUUUAUCAACACUCUCCCCUCCGGAUGAGGAGUAAAUAAAACUCUGAAUAUGUAACGGAGGGGAGGAGGGGGUGUCCUGGGAUGUAGAGCAUAUCCAGUAGUGUAAUGGUAAAUAAAGAAAUGCCUAAACUCUGA